RNAcentral lists this ribosomal RNA (253 nucleotides) under uncultured bacterium. RNAcentral's name for it is "partial 16S ribosomal RNA". It matches the Rfam family "Bacterial small subunit ribosomal RNA", at positions 524 to 776 of the family's 1533-position model. The record is from RNAcentral.
UACGAAGGGGGCUAGCGUUGCUCGGAAUCACUGGGCGUAAAGGGUGCGUAGGCGGAUCUUUAAGUCAGAGGUGAAAUCCUGGAGCUCAACUCCAGAACUGCCUUUGAUACUGAAGAUCUUGAGUUCGGGAGAGGUGAGUGGAACUGCGAGUGUAGAGGUGAAAUUCGUAGAUAUUCGCAAGAACACCAGUGGCGAAGGCGGCUCACUGGCCCGAUACUGACGCUGAGGCACGAAAGCGUGGGGAGCAAACAGG